GUCGAGCGGUAAGGCCUUUCGGGGUACACGNNCGGCGAACGGGUGAGUAACACGUGGGUGAUCUGCCCUGCACUUCGGGAUAAGCCUGGGAAACUGGGUCUAAUACCGGAUAUGACCUCCUAUCGCAUGGUGGGUGGUGGAAAGAUUUAUCGGUGCAGGAUGGGCCCGCGGCCUAUCAGCUUGUUGGUGGGGUAAUGGCCUACCAAGGCGACGACGGGUAGCCGACCUGAGAGGGUGACCGGCCACACUGGGACUGAGACACGGCCCAGACUCCUACGGGAGGCAGCAGUGGGGAAUAUUGCACAAUGGGCGAGAGCCUGAUGCAGCGACGCCGCGUGAGGGAUGACGGCCUUCGGGUUGUAAACCUCUUUCAGCAGGGACGAAGCGCAAGUGACGGUACCUGCAGAAGAAGCACCGGCUAACUACGUGCCAGCAGCCGCGGUAAUACGUAGGGUGCAAGCGUUGUCCGGAAUUACUGGGCGUAAAGAGUUCGUAGGCGGUUUGUCGCGUCGUUUGUGAAAACCAGCAGCUCAACUGCUGGCUUGCAGGCGAUACGGGCAGACUUGAGUACUGCAGGGGAGACUGGAAUUCCUGGUGUAGCGGUGAAAUGCGCAGAUAUCAGGAGGAACACCGGUGGCGAAGGCGGGUCUCUGGGCAGUAACUGACGCUGAGGAACGAAAGCGUGGGUNNNNNNNAGGAUUAGAUACCCUGGUAGUCCACGCCGUANACGGUGGGCGCUAGGUGUNNNUNCCUUCCA
Molecule: ribosomal RNA, 757 nt
Filed under: uncultured bacterium
Lineage: Bacteria
Description: bacterial SSU rRNA
Rfam family: Bacterial small subunit ribosomal RNA
Source: RNAcentral